GGUAGUGCUUGGGUGACGCACCCUGGAAUCAGGGUUCCUCCUCCCUGGUUCCAGGUGCAUCACCCCAAGAACCACA
Non-coding RNA from Myotis davidii, 76 nucleotides. The record is from Rfam. NCBI's taxonomy places the organism in Eukaryota, Metazoa, Chordata, Mammalia, Chiroptera, Vespertilionidae.